AUUGAACGCUGGCGGAAUGCUUUACACAUGCAAGUCGAACGGCAGCACGGACUUCGGUCUGGUGGCGAGUGGCGAACGGGUGAGUAAUAUAUCGGAACGUAUCCAAUAAUGGGGGAUAACUAAGCGAAAGCUUGGCUAAUACCGCAUACGCCCUACGGGGGAAAGCUAGGGACCUUCGGGCCUGGCGUUAAUGGAGUGGCCGAUAUCUGAUUAGCUAGUUGGUGGGGUAAAGGCCCACCAAGGCGACGAUCAGUAGCUGGUCUGAGAGGACGACCAGCCACACUGGAACUGAGACACGGUCCAGACUCCUACGGGAGGCAGCAGUGGGGAAUUUUGGACAAUGGGCGCAAGCCUGAUCCAGCCAUUCCGCGUGAGUGAAGAAGGCCUUCGGGUUGUAAAGCUCUUUCGCAAGGGAAGAAAACUCAGCUACUAAAAUUAGCUGAGGCUGACGGUACCUUGAUAAGAAGCACCGGCUAACUACGUGCCAGCAGCCGCGGUAAUACGUAGGGUGCGAGCGUUAAUCGGAAUUACUGGGCGUAAAGCGUGCGCAGGCGGUUUUGUAAGUCAGAUGUGAAAUCCCCGAGCUCAACUUGGGAACUGCGUCCGAAACUACAAGACUAGAAUAUGUCAGAGGGGGGUAGAAUUCCACGUGUAGCAGUGAAAUGCGUAGAGAUGUGGAGGAAUAUCAAUGGCGAAGGCAGCCCCCUGGGAUAAUAUUGACGCUCAUGCACGAAAGCGUGGGGAGCAAACAGGAUUAGAUACCCUGGUAGUCCACGCCCUAAACGAUGUCUACUAGUUGUUGGUGGAGUAAAAUCCAUGAGUAACGCAGCUAACGCGUGAAGUAGACCGCCUGGGGAGUACGGUCGCAAGAUUAAAACUCAAAUGAAUUGACGGGGGCCCGCACAAGCGGUGGAUUAUGUGGAUUAAUUCGAUGCAACGCGAAAAACCUUACCUGGCCUUGACAUGUAACGAACUUUCCAGAGAUGGAUUGGUGCUUGAAAGAGAACGUUAACACAGGUGCUGCAUGGCUGUCGUCAGCUCGUGUCGUGAGAUGUUGGGUUAAGU
This 1065-nucleotide ribosomal RNA is filed under the name uncultured bacterium. RNAcentral describes it as "bacterial SSU rRNA". It matches the Rfam family "Bacterial small subunit ribosomal RNA", at positions 28 to 1085 of the family's 1533-position model. The record is from RNAcentral.